GGGUCAGUAGGUUGGUCGUGCCACCGGUACGUACUGGUCUCACCGAUUCCUCCUUCCUGAAGAACCGUAAUGCCAUUAAUUUGGUGUUGCGGGGAAACAGGACUGUUACUUUGAAAAAAUUAGAGCGUUUAAAGCAAGCUAACGCUUGAAUACAUUAGCAUAGAAUAAUGAAAUAGGACGAUCGAUCCUAUUUUGUUGGUUUCUAGGAUUGACGUA
Molecule: ribosomal RNA, 216 nt
Filed under: Glomeromycotina sp.
Lineage: Eukaryota; Fungi; Glomeromycota
Description: partial small subunit ribosomal RNA
Rfam family: Eukaryotic small subunit ribosomal RNA (bases 46-216)
Source: RNAcentral